GGGUAUUGUAUGAUUGAAGGAUUGAAUUGCAUGAUAACUUACCACUGAAGGAUACUUUUGAUAUUUUCAUCAAAUUUCAUAUCUUUUGGAUAGUCAUGAUAUAUUGCUAAACAUUAAUCUUGACUUGUGGACUCACAUGAAUUAAAGAAGUUUAAUUUAAAAAUUAAUUAGAAAGAGUUCUAAUUAAAAUUAAUGCAUUUGGGUUGA
RNAcentral lists this long non-coding RNA (207 nucleotides) under Elaeis guineensis (African oil palm). RNAcentral's name for it is "long non-coding RNA (EGUI_LNC057302)". The record is from RNAcentral. Lineage: Eukaryota; Viridiplantae; Streptophyta; Magnoliopsida; Arecales; Arecaceae.